GGUAUUGGGUUAAGAGAGAUCUCUCCUGGGGACACAGAAGUUCCUGGUGAGGCACAUACACUCCUGUCCAGGACAGUAGCGAAGUGUCACUCUGUCCUCUAUACUGGUUCCGUAAGGAAUUCCUCUGGAAGGACAGAAAGGUGUUGAUGAGACACAUAUGCGCUCCUGUCCAGAGCAUUAGCAAGAUGUUGCACUGCUCCCUCGGUUUUGGCGCCUGGUUCUUGUUUUCUUGUGUUUUGGUCUGUGUUAUAUAUGCUUUUUCUGCCUUUUCGUUGUGUGUCUUCUCUGGUAGAAAAUUAAGACAAUUGAACAUCAAAAAUGGGUGAUAAGGCAAGUAAGCCUGACAUCCCUUUGAGCUGUGUUUUAAGGAAUUUUGAUAAAUGUUACUCCCCUUUGUUAAGCAGGAUUAGGGAAGCAAUGCUUUCUUUUCUUCCCCUAGUUGGCUGCCUUGAGCAUACCACAUGAAAAGUUAAUUUCUGUUUUACUAUAAAUUACUGAGAUUUCUAAACUUGCUUGGAAUGCCUGUCCGUGCCUUGAACUCACCAUGCAUGGCUUUCCCUGACAAGAUAACAACCCUCUCUGAAACCUUAGUGGCGCCUCAUAAAUUCUGGUUUUCCCUGACCAGAUAAUAAUCCUCUAAAACCUCAGCAGCAUCCCAUAAAUUCAGGGAAAUGCCUGCUGGGGAUCUAGAAAAUGAAUAUUUCCCAAAUUAACAAGUGAAUCCUAACCUGCCAUUAGGGCACCCUGGGAACCCCUACCGAAAUUAACUCUAGAAAAAUUCCUUUAAAACCCUUUUGUCUCUCCAGAACAAGAGAGUCACCGCCCUUGGGAUGGGAGUCCUUGUUUUUCUUCUUUGUUAGCAAAGCAAUAAAACUUAUUUUUCCUUUUUUCUCAAAACCCUGUCCUCAUUAUUAAAUUGGCAUUAAUUGGCUUUGAGGACAGGAACUGAACUUUCAGUUACAAAUUUUGAUACUCCAGGUGGGACUCCAGAGGAGACCCAGCUCCACUGUCUUGGGGAAGCCUAGCACUCCAAGUAACUGCAUGCCGAGGAUGUAAGAUGAACUUUUUGAGAGCUGACUACUGGAAAGUUAGGAGAUAAUGGGAGUGUGCCUGGGGUCAGACCGAACCAGAGGAGCUAUUCCUGUAAGUAAAUGGAGUGACCGAGGGACUCCCAACAGCUGCCGAAGCCCCUUUUGCUUUGGGGAACUCCUGCCUUCCUUCCCUGCACUGUAAGGAUUGCUUCAUCUCUGUCUAUUAAAAAAAAAAAAAAGAAGGAAACUGAAUGCAGUGAAGUCACUACACCAAGACCCUUGAUUUUACAAUUCUGGUUCCCUCUUUGUGGGAAUAUCUAUGAUAUUUAUGUAUCUGGUGACAUCUAUGGUGCCACUGGUGUAGGACUCAUGGUUAAAUUGGGAGUUGGAAACUUGGGGAUAUUUUUCCCUUAUCUGGUCUAUUUUAAAGGUUCCUCUCUGUCGGCCAUAGUUUGGAGCUCCUCUCUCUCUGUCAUUGUGUCUUUGUUUGUAUCUGUUUCUGGCCCUUUAAGACAUGGGCAAUAAUGUGUUGAUAUUAUAGAUUGUUUCUUGGGAAUGAUCUUGGCUGAAUGGGCUACCUAUAGAUGUACAUGUGUCUAAAAAGAUGAUGUUUUACUGUAACAAUCUGGUAUCUGAAUGGGUUUUUGAAGCAUUGUACAAUCUUACAGUUAAAAGUUGGUUUGUCAGAGAUAAAAUAAUUAAUAAGGAGUCUUAAUAGUCAAAAACUGAGUUGGAGGGGCUGGAGAUGUGGCUCAAGUGGUAGCGCGCUCGCCUAGCAUGCAUGAGGCACUGGGUUCGAUUCUCAGCACCACAUAAAAAUAAAAUAAAGAUAUUGUGUCCACCUUAAACUAAAAAAAAUAUAUUAAAAAAAAAACUGAGUUGGAUGCAAAUACUUUAGCUCAUCUUUAUCCUCUCACCGCCGUGCCACUUUCUUUCUUUCUGAAGGAUGAUAUGAGCCCCCGAUGGCUAUAAAUGCAGCUAAUGCAACUGCAACUCCUCAAAACUCGGGUGAAAGGUUUCCCGGCCUAGGCAGCUCUCAAUCACCGUUCAAUACAGAACAGGCAUGUUGGGCUCUGCCUGCUGAAGCCCUUUCCUACUUUUCUGUCCAGGCCCAGAGAGCAAUUGACACAAGUACACAGUGUCCCAAGUUCUGAUCUGCCUUAGAUGUGUGGAAGUAACCUUAGCCAAACUCUAGCCUCAGAUGCUCCAGGUAUGCUUCUCCUGAUUCUCUGUAGGGGCCAGAAGCCAAUUUCCCCUUGAAUACAAGUACCAGCUUUUCUGUUCUCACCUCUUACCUUAGACCUCUUAAAAAUAUCUGAACAGCCUAUAACCAAAAGGUUUACUCCCCCUGAGUUAUGAACAGGCUUUGGAGCAAGAUUUAUCCUGUUUGUCACUGAGAGAGGAAGACAAAACCUAGGAAUGGCCACACAAGAAAGUGGACUUGCUCAACAACAAAUGGCUUAUCUUAGUAAGGAACUUAACAUCAUAGCUUUGUUCCCAAAGGUAGUAGAAAGUAAGGUAGCAUAAUUCUAGGCAUCCAAACCUGUCCAAUUACUGACUAGGGAAAAAAAUGGUUAAAACGCCUUAGGCAUGAGGUUUCUGCUCAGAACAGCAGUUUUCCCUAGCUCUUUCUGGACCUAAGCCAGGACUUACACUGAAAUGCAAAUGGAAGCUCAGUAGGAGACUGGUCUUAGACCCUAAAAAAAGAAAGUAAACGUGCCCUUUACCUGAACUUAUAUUAGACUAAACCAAAAAAUAAAUUGUAUGAUACUUUACUAAUUACCUCCUGGUCAUUUUUUUUCUAGGACUCUUGCUUUUUCUUAGAUUCUGUAUUUUUUGAGCUCAUAAUUUUAAUCCUACAGACCUAGGUUAAUGUUUUUCCAAUCAGUCCUAAUUUUUGUUCAACUAUGGAGGUUUUAAACAUUGCAAUGGAGAUUUCACCUGCAAAAAGCUACAAGACCUUUACCAUUGUGUUAUGUGUGCACACUUGUGUUAUGUGUUGUAUGUCUAUAUGUACAUGUGUCCAUAUAUCAUGUACAUGAUAUGAAAAUUGGCAGGUAUAUAAGGAGUGCUCAUAAAAUUAAAAAAAUAGAUCCAAAUACCUUUAAUUCACAUGAUUUAAAAUGGUUCAAUUUAAUUUGGGUAAACAGAUGAAAAUAAAUAUGUCUUUAAAAUCAAAUUUAACUCACAAGUCUCCCUAGGUGGUCAAAAAAAUAAUAAAAUGUUGAUGUUUAUAAAAUGUCUAAUAUCCCUUGAUUCUAGAAAUUUUCUUCAACAAGGAAGAAACGGCUAAUAC
Molecule: long non-coding RNA, 3327 nt
Filed under: Marmota monax (woodchuck)
Lineage: Eukaryota; Metazoa; Chordata; Mammalia; Rodentia; Sciuridae
Source: RNAcentral